This 468-nucleotide ribosomal RNA is filed under the name uncultured bacterium. Its description in RNAcentral is "partial 16S ribosomal RNA". It matches the Rfam family "Bacterial small subunit ribosomal RNA", at positions 28 to 507 of the family's 1533-position model. The record is from RNAcentral.
GACGAACGCUGGCGGCGUGCUUAACACAUGCAAGUCGAACGGAAAGGCCCUGCUUUUGUGGGGUGCUCGGGUGGCGAACGGGUGAGUAACACGUGAGUAACCUGCCCUUGACUUUGGGAUAACUUCAGGAAACUGGGGCUAAUACCGGAUAGGAGCUCCUGCUGCAUGGUGGGGGUUGGAAAGUUUCGGCGGUUGGGGAUGGACUCGCGGCUUAUCAGCUUGUUGGUGGGGUAGUGGCUUACCAAGGCUUUGACGGGUAGCCGGCCUGAGAGGGUGACCGGCCACAUUGGGACUGAGAUACGGCCCAGACUCCUACGGGAGGCAGCAGUGGGGAAUAUUGCACAAUGGGCGGAAGCCUGAUGCAGCAACGCCGCGUGCGGGAUGAAGGCCUUCGGGUUGUAAACCGCUUUCGCCUGUGACGAAGCGUGAGUGACGGUAAUGGGUAAAGAAGCACCGGCUAACUACGUG